UUGAAAAAUUAAGAAAGUUGUUAUCGAGACUAGUGGUAAAUCUCUAACAAAUUUGUGCCAAAAAUUGGGGACAUGGGGGGGGGGGGAAGAAGGAGAUUUACAAACUAGCAUGGCUAAAGAAAAAUAGGGCUGGAGAUCUAAAUCAAGUCAAAUGUAUUGAAGUUAAAGAGGCCAUGAAGAAUAUGAAGAUAGGGAGAGCAUAUAGCCAUAUGGUAUCUCUAUUGAAGUGUGGAAGUGUCUUGGGGAGGUUGGAGUAACUUGGCUAACUAAGCUAUUCAAUGGCAUACUAAAAUUUGAAAAUAUGCCAAAUGAGUCGAGAAAGAGCAAUUUGAUUUCUAUCUUUAAGACCAAAGGAGACGUCCAAAGUUGUACAAACUACCGGAAUAUUAAACCGAUGAGUUACAUGAUGAAACUAUAGGAAAGAGAGAUUGAAUGCAAACCUAGGGACACUACUGAGGUAUCAGAGAACCGGUUGACUUUAUGUUUGAUAUAUCUACAAUCGAUCUAAUGUUUUUGUUAAGAAGAUUAAUGAAAAUUUAUAGGGAGAGAAAUAAGGAUCUUCGCAUAUAUUCAUUGACCUAAAAAUGGCAUAUGAUAGAAUACCAAGAGAUGUUCUUUGGUGAGUGCUAGAGAAGAAAGGAAUCAAUAUGAUAGAAUACUAAGAGAAGUUCUUUGGUGGGUGCUAGAGAAGAGAAGAGAAGAGUCUAUCUCAUACAUAUAAAUGUCAUUAAGAACAUGUAUGAAGGGGCAGUCACAAGUGUAAUAAUAGUGGGAGAGGAUGUGGACAAGCUUCCUAUACCAGUGGGUUUACAUCAAGGAUCAACUCUGAGUCUGUACUUGUUUAUCUUAGCUAGGGAUGAGCUAAUCAGUCUUACUUAAGAUGAUGUCCCAUGAUGCAUAUUAUUUGUAGAUGAUAUUGUUUUAGUUGAUGAAGCUGGUGAAGAAGUUAGCUAAAAGUUGGAGCUGUGAAGAACUAUUGAAAGUAAGGGUUUUAGGCUGAGUAGAAGUAAGAUGAAAUUCGUGCAUUGCUAGUUUAGCUUUUGUAGAAGGUAUGCGGGAGGUUCAAUUGGAUGUAGUUUCGUUGCCAAAAUGCAAUCAAUUCAAGUAUUGAAGUUUUAUAUUCUAAGAGAACAGAGUAAUAGAUAAGAAUGUAAUUCAUAGAAUCAAAACAAGAGGGAUUGGAAUGGAAUGUGACUGUUGGAUCCUUGACAAAGUGAAA
This 1219-nucleotide unclassified non-coding RNA is filed under the name Hevea brasiliensis (rubber tree). The record is from RNAcentral. Lineage: Eukaryota; Viridiplantae; Streptophyta; Magnoliopsida; Malpighiales; Euphorbiaceae.